RNAcentral lists this ribosomal RNA (910 nucleotides) under uncultured bacterium. RNAcentral's name for it is "bacterial SSU rRNA". It matches the Rfam family "Bacterial small subunit ribosomal RNA", at positions 33 to 933 of the family's 1533-position model. The record is from RNAcentral.
ACGCUGGCGGCAGGCUUAACACAUGCAAGUCGAACGGUAGCAGGAGAGAGCUUGCUUUCUUGCUGACGAGUGGCGGACGGGUGAGCAAUGCUUGGGAAUCUGGCUUAUGGAGGGGGAUAACUACGGGAAACUGUAGCUAAUACCGCGUAGUAUCGGAAGAUGAAAGUGCGGGACCGUAAGGCCGCAUGCCAUGAGAUGAGCCCAAGUGGGAUUAGGUAGUUGGUGGGGUAAAGGCCUACCAAGCCUGCGAUCUCUAGCUGGUCUGAGAGGAUGGCCAGCCACACUGGAACUGAGACACGGUCCAGACUCCUACGGGAGGCAGCAGUGGGGAAUAUUGCGCAAUGGGGGGAACCCUGACGCAGCCAUGCCGCGUGAAUGAAGAAGGCCUUCGGGUUGUAAAGUUCUUUCGGUAUUGAGGAAGGAGUGUAUGUUAAUAGCAUACAUUAUUGACGUUAAAUACAGAAGAAGCACCGGCUAACUCCGUGCCAGCAGCCGCGGUAAUACGGAGGGUGCGAGCGUUAAUCGGAAUAACUGGGCGUAAAGGGCACGCAGGCGGUUAUUUAAGUGAGGUGUGAAAGCCCCGGGCUUAACCUGGGAAUUGCAAUUCAGACUGGGUAACUAGAGUGCUUUAGGGAGGGGUAGAAUUCCACGUGUAGCGGUGAAAUGCGUAGAGAUGUGGAGGAAUACCGAAGGCGAAGGCAGCCCCUUGGGAAUGUACUGACGCUCAUGUGCGAAAGCGUGGGGAGCAAACAGGAUUAGAUACCCUGGUAGUCCACGCUGUAAACGCUGUCGAUUUGGGGAUUGGGGCUUAAAGCUUGGGCCCGUAGCUAACGUGAUAAAUCGACCGCCUGGGGAGUACGGCCGCAAGGUUAAAACUCAAAUGAAUUGACCGGGGGCCCGCACAAGCGGU